UGAAAGUGCUUCCCUGUUUUGUUUGUUUUGGGUGUUUUUAUUAUUUUUAUAUAUAUUUAGAAAUAGUAUAUACAUGACCUGCCAACUGUUUCUCUUUCAAAAACUCCGCAAUUUUGGCUAAGGGUUUUUGUUCUUUUUGCUUGGGCAAAACGACAACUUGGGUUGAAUUUAUCUCUCGAUUUCGUCCCUGUUGUCGUUCCGUUUUUUUAGUUCUUGAUUCCGCGUGUUACAAGCUUUCUCGGCUGACUUCACUGCCAACUGUGUGUCUCUCGACUUGUUCAGAGGUUAUUGUAGCUCAAUAAAACCGGUAUGGUCUUUUUUUAUUUUUCAGGUGGAUUAAUUUAAAUAAGGGUUCUGCGUUUUAUUGGAUUUUGAGAAUUUCAUUGCGUGGAAUUAAGGUUUUUAUGAUUCAGUGUUUGGUUUCAAUUCCAAUUGAUGUGGGACAAAAAGGGUUAUUUUGUGUUGGUUGAAUUUGAAGCUUGGGGUUAAGAUAAAAGGGGUUUUUUUUUUUUUUUGGAAGAAAAAUAGGGAUAAAAGGGUUUUUUGCAAUUGGGGUUUUGCCUCUGAACAUAUAUGCAAGGAGAUUGAUUGGGAAUUUGGUUUGAUUUGAGUGAAUUUUUGUGGGUAUUGAGUCGGUUGAUGACUGGGUUGUGGAUUUUGAGUUUUGGGGUUUAAGGUGUGUGAGUGUGAAUUGGGAAAUUACAAUGGAUGAAGGUCAGGGCGGUUCGAAUUCGUUGCCUCCGUUCCUUACAAAGACGUAUGAGAUGGUAGAUGAUCCCUCCACGGAUUCAGUUGUGUCGUGGAGCGCAAAUAACAAAAGCUUUAUUGUGUGGAAUCCACCGGAGUUCGCGAGGGAUUUGUUGCCAAGGUUCUUUAAGCACAAUAACUUCUCAAGCUUCAUUAGACAGCUCAAUACAUAUGGUUUUAGGAAAAUUGAUCCGGAACAAUGGGAAUUUGCGAAUGAGGAAUUUAUAAGAGGCCAGCCACACCUGUUAAAAAACAUACACAGACGAAAACCUGUUCAUAGCCAUUCAUUACAGAAUUUACAGGGACAAGGGAGUGCUUCUCCUAUGUCUGAAUCAGAAAGACAGAGUUUGAAGGAGGAGAUUGAGGGACUUAAACAUGAGAGAGAACGGCUUCUUUUGGAGUUACAGAGGCAUGAAGAGGAGAGGCAAGGAUUCGAGAUGCAAGUCCAGUUAUACAAGGAGCGUUUGCAGCAUGUGGAACGCCAGCAACAAAAGAUGAUGUCUUCUGUAGCUCAAGUCUUGCGGAAACCAGGGCUUCCUUUGAAUCUUGUGACACAAUUGGAAAAUCAUGAUAGAAAGAGAAGGUUGCCAAGAAUCGGUUACAUCUAUGAUGAAGCCAGCAUUGAAGAUACUCAGAUGGGGACUUCCCAAACUGUACCUGGAGAAAGUGGGGUGAGUGCUUGUGCUUUGACAUCGAAUGUGGAGCCAUUUGAGCACGUGCGGUCAUCAUUGUUUGUUUGGGAGAAUCUUCUACGUGAUGUUAGUGAAACUGUCAUGAAAUUUAAUUCGAACCCGGAUUUAGAUGAAUCUACUAGUUGUGAUGAGAGCCCCACCAUAUCUUGUGUACAGCUGAAUGUUGAUGUCAGGCCUAAAUCCCCUGGAAUUGACAUGAACUCUGAGCCUGCAACUGCUGCUGUGCCGGAGCCCGUUGAGCCCGAUGCCUCAAAAGAACAGGGACUUGUUACUACUACUGUGCCAACUGGGGUCAAUGAUGUAUUCUGGGAACAGUUCUUGACUGAGAAUCCUGGUGCAGCUGACACACAGGAGGUUCAGUCAGAAAGAAAGGAAUCAAUGGCAGAAAGAAUGAAGCAGGACCUGGUGAUGAUGACAAAUUAUAGCAGGGUAUCAGGGAUGUAAAUAACCUUGCCAAGCAGAUGGGGGCAUCUUACUCCUACAGAGAGAACUUGGUAUCAGUUUAUUUUUUUCCCGGCUUUUGAUGCCCCAGUGGCUCACUUGUAAUAAUUUAGCUUUUGGAAUAAAGCCAUGUUGGCUAAUGCUGUGGACACAAAAGCACAUAAAAUAUAAGAUGGCAUGGAAUAAUGAGCUUGAAAAAGGGUAUCUGACAUAGUUUUCAGCACCAAAAAUAAGAAUCUGAUAUUAUGUGUGGCUAAAGAUACUGAUGUAGAGAAAAGUGCUGAUGUUCUUCUUGUUGUAUAUUCUCGAAUAUCAUGUCCUGGAUAUGAAGAGUCAAGAUUUGUGAAGUACCUUAAAUCCAUUUGAUGUCAUUGCUAUCAUGUUGCUAGCCUUAGUCAGGCCUUAGUUAGGCUUGGGAAACUGACCACUAUUUCUAGCAUACAGUAUUGAAUCAUCUUUCUGUUAGAUGUGAUGGCAUUACUUGAUCUUCUUUACCACGAGAACCAAGGUAAGAAUUCUCAUUCCCCAACUUCUUGUAAUAAUUGAAUUAUCAAAAAUAAAAUAAAAUAUGUGAUAUCCACAAACUUCUCUUCUCUGAGUUUUUGUGUGAAUUAUGGCAUUGUGCAAAACAUGAGUUGAUUCAACUGAGGUAAUGAAAAAAAUGUAGAGGAAGACCAAAAAUAAUAUUAGUAAAAGUAAUUAAAAAAGGACAUGUUAAUUAAGGAUGUAACAUAAACUAUGACUUCAAAUAGAAUAAAAUGGAGGAAAAUAAUGCAUGUGGCUGACUAUGACUAAGCGGUUGAGGAUAUGUAGCCAACCCCAAAAAAUUUAGGACUAAGACUUUGUUGUUGUAAACUAUUGUGCAAAGAACAUACUAUGAUCAUGUGAGAGUGAGGUGGGCUCCGAGAGUCUCUAGUAUUUAUAUUUUGUUAAAUCUUUGUCAUUUAACAUGUUUGAUCUUGAUUUUUAAUAUUGGCUAACUCCUCAGGUAAAUGACAAUGUUUUUAAUUUGGAAAUAAAAUGGGGGCUUCCCAAUUUAAUAUGUGAUUGCCAAGUGUAUGCAAGUGCCUUGAACAUAAAUUUUGGUCUUACAUCUUGUAAACACUUAAUACAAUUACUUAUAUAUAUAUAUAUAUUAAAUGACAAUGUUUUUAAUUUGUAAAUAAAAUGGGGGCUCCCCAAUUUAAUAUGUGAUUGCCAAGUGUAUGCAUGUGCCUUGAACAUAAGUUUUGGUCUUACAUCUUUUAAACACUUAAUACAAUUACUUUAUAUAUAUAUAUAAAUAUAUAUAUAUAUAUAUAAUGCCCUCAGAAUGAGUGUGUGUUGUGGGGUGUGUGCUGAGUCCCACAUCGGGCAUAUAAUGGGAUGAUUUAGGUUUUAUUAACAACUACAAGCAACCUCACUUGUGAUUACACUGAUUCUUUUGAAGUAUAGUGCAAAUGUAGCUAGUGCUUUUCCUUGGGUUGUUAUAUAUAUGUGUGUGUGUGCGCGCGCGUGCAUGCUCACACUUUCUUAACUAUCAUUGUCAUCUUUUGUUAUUUAGCCAAUUAUCCUUCCAUGCAAGGAGUCUCAAUUCUGGCCUUUCCAUUACUGAAGCCUAAAAAGCAAUUUUGGCCAAUUCUCUUUGACUGUGAUAGUUUCCAUAUGGGUAUAAUUACAAUGAAGCUAAUGCUUUUAAUAUGUUUAUUUUGUUUUCAUUUAUUUUCAACCAAUGACAGAGAGUUUCUUAUCAGUGUAAUGUAUUGCAAUCCUGAUGUAGUCCAGCAUGCUCAGAUUCAUAUAAUUGACCAAUGAUAUUAGAUCCGGCCAAUCCACAUGCAAAUGUGAACUAGUUUCUUCUAAAUUUUAUUGACAUGUGACAAUCUUUUUAUGCUACUAAUCUACCUAGAUAUUAUGCAUGGUAAUGAAUAGCAUAAAAUAUCAUACAAAUUUUAAAUAAGAUUUCUUUACCGCACUUUCUUAUAUUAUCUAAUAAUAUCAUUACUUGAACUUCCUUGAUUAGUUCUAUGAAAGAAAUAACUAUUGGGUACGGAAUCAGUAUAUGCUAUGAGUGUGUUUGGACUUUACAGAAAUGGUCUUGCAGUUGUUUUGAGUGAAGGAUGGUGAUGCUUCUACCCAGGUUCCAAACUAGAUCUAAAAUUUUGCGAUUUGUAUAAUCAGUGAUGGUACAUGAUAUACAUCUGAAGGAUUCUUCUGGCAUAGGGGUCUUGACUCCUUAGAAGAUUAUGUACUGAAGUUACUGAACCACAGCUAAGUUAGGUGCAAGAUGGCUAUUUGGAAGUAACCUCUGUUAUACUUUUGAGAUUACUAAGGUGAAGUUCUGCUUUAGUUUUGAAAUUAUUUUUAGAGAAUAUCCACUUUGUGAUUCAAUCAGAAGUUUGAUUGAUGAUAAACACAAGAUGCAUUGAUGUUAUUAGAUGUGUGUGUUUACUUGCCUUAUACCUACAAAUAUUUGGAAUAGAAAGAAAGAGAUUACUUGAUCCAUCUCCUAGAGGGCCACUAACCAGUGCUGGUCCCUCUUAAAUAAGGUCCUGGAAGGGGUGACAGAGAUAUGGUUCUACCUUUCAGCAUUUUUGUAUAAAGUUCCCACUUUCAAGACUAAAACCUACUUGCUUGUGCUUGACAGCCUGAGAUUUUUACUACCAUACCAGAUUAUGGCCUUGACUUGAUACAUCUAAUGCUUGUUUAAAAUGAUGUUGGGAGUAGUCAAGCGGCUUUAAGCCUGAUGAGUAUCUUUUUUAUUUAUCUUUCACGUGGGUAUGAAUGGAAAAGGCAAUUGGUCUGUCUGUAAUGGUAUAUGCUUGGAUUAUUUAGCUCUCAUCAGCUUGUAUGCCUCAUUAAUUUUCAUUUUGAUUGGAAGCGCCCCUCCUUGAUAGGAGGUGCUAAGAGACUGUUGUAGAGUGCAUGUAUUACCAACUUUUGAGUUGCAAUAGACAUAUAUAAUUCAUGU
Molecule: RNA transcript, 4830 nt
Organism: Quercus robur (English oak)
Lineage: Eukaryota; Viridiplantae; Streptophyta; Magnoliopsida; Fagales; Fagaceae
Gene name: heat stress transcription factor A-4a-like
Exons: 3
Source: RefSeq, a predicted model, not a curated record